UGGGGAAUUUUGGACAAUGGGCGCAAGCCUGAUCCAGCCAUGCCGCGUGCAGGAUGAAGGCCUUCGGGUUGUAAACUGCUUAUGUACGGAACGAAAAGACUCCUUCUAAUAAAGGGGGUCCAUGACGGUACCGUAAGAAUAAGCACCGGCUAACUACGUGCCAGCAGCCGCGGUAAUACAGAGGGUGCAAGCGUUAAUCGGAAUUACUGGGCGUAAAGCGCGCGUAGGUGGUUAGUUAAGUUGGAUGUGAAAUCCCCGGGCUCAACCUGGGACCUGCAUUUGUGACUGUAUAGCUAGAGUACGGUAGAGGGGGAUGGAAUUCCGCGUGUAGCAGUGAAAUGCGUAGAUAUGCGGAGGAACACCGAUGGCGAAGGCAAUCCCCUGGACCUGUACUGACGCUCAUGCACGAAAGCGUGGGGAGCAAACA
RNAcentral lists this ribosomal RNA (427 nucleotides) under uncultured bacterium. RNAcentral's name for it is "bacterial SSU rRNA". It matches the Rfam family "Bacterial small subunit ribosomal RNA", at positions 355 to 774 of the family's 1533-position model. The record is from RNAcentral.